Long non-coding RNA from Gadus macrocephalus (Pacific cod), 892 nucleotides. RefSeq lists it as uncharacterized. Lineage: Eukaryota; Metazoa; Chordata; Actinopteri; Gadiformes; Gadidae. The record is from RefSeq and is a predicted model, not a curated record. The transcript is spliced from 2 exons.
GAGAGAGAUAGACAAAGACAGACACACACACAGACACAGAGAGAGAGAAAGAGACAUACAGAGACAGAGAGAGACCGACAGAGAAAGACAGAUAGAGAGAGAGAGAGAGAGAGACAGACAGAGACAGACAAACAGGCAGACAGACACCGAGCGAGACAGAGGUAUUACGACAUGAUGGGGAUUCCUUGCAGGACCUGUUGGUAUUCUUUAGAGUAGUGGGCUAGGUUCACACCAGAUCAUUAUCACCACAGCAUGGCUGAGUCAUGAGCCGUUAGUGGGCGGGUUCUCCAUCUCGACGUCUGCUCACUCUCCAUAUCGUCAUUCCCUGUAGCUUGUUCUUAUACACCUCACAUUCAUUACCAAAUCGAGGCCCAUCUGUAAUUCCACGUUUCCCCACACAGUAUCUAACUGAAGCUAUUGCGCUGCAAGAUGCCCUUUAAACUCCAAUGUUUGCCCCAGAUUAACUGCAAAAGGUCAGGCGAGUUUAACUCACUGCCCAUCCCCACUAUAGCAGAACUAAACUCACUGCUUAACACCACCAUAGCAGAACUAAACUCACUGCUUAUCCCCACUAUGGCAGCACUAAAACAGGCCAGGUGAGCUACACUCACGGCACACUUUAAUGACUGGUGUAAACUGAGCCAAGCCAAUCAGAUGCAGUAGAUUACCAACUCGUUAAAUAUUAACAUUAAAAAGAAAGAACGACUUGAACUUGAGUUUGUCACUAAAUACCUCAGAGAGCAACUGAAGAUGUCGUUACAAAUCGAUUUCACACACACACACACACACACACACACACACACACACACACACACACACACACACACACACACACACACACACACACACACACACACACACACACACACACACACACACACACACACACACA